GAUAACUGAUAGUUUGACAGGUGGAAUGACGGGGUAACGCCCUGAAACGCCUGCCCUCGGUGGGCAUGCAUAAGCUGUAAAGGCUUUUGUAUGAAGCCCCACGACAACGGCUGAGAGCAGCCGUACCGGCAGCCAAUGCCGGCGAAAGCGCCCCAGAGGUGGGGUGUGCUGCCUAUAAGCCAAGGGUCUAUAAG
Molecule: non-coding RNA, 194 nt
Organism: Lachnospiraceae bacterium
Lineage: Bacteria; Bacillati; Bacillota; Clostridia; Lachnospirales; Lachnospiraceae
Source: Rfam